GCCGGUGUAGCUCAGUGGCAGAGCAGCGGUUUCGUAAACCGCAGGCCAAGAGUUCGACUCUCUUCACCGGCUCCA
Molecule: transfer RNA, 75 nt
Filed under: Dehalococcoidia bacterium
Lineage: Bacteria; Bacillati; Chloroflexota; Dehalococcoidia
Description: tRNA-Thr
Rfam family: tRNA
About the family: Transfer RNA (tRNA) molecules are approximately 80 nucleotides in length. Their secondary structure includes four short double-helical elements and three loops (D, anti-codon, and T loops). Further hydrogen bonds mediate the characteristic L-shaped molecular structure. tRNAs have two regions of fundamental functional importance: the anti-codon, which is responsible for specific mRNA codon recognition, and the 3' end, to which the tRNAs corresponding amino acid is attached (by aminoacyl-tRNA synthetases). tRNAs cope with the degeneracy of the genetic code in two manners: having more than one tRNA (with a specific anti-codon) for a particular amino acid; and 'wobble' base-pairing, i.e. permitting non-standard base-pairing at the 3rd anti-codon position.
Source: RNAcentral